This 379-nucleotide ribosomal RNA is filed under the name uncultured organism. RNAcentral's name for it is "bacterial SSU rRNA". It matches the Rfam family "Bacterial small subunit ribosomal RNA", at positions 367 to 762 of the family's 1533-position model. The record is from RNAcentral.
CGCAAUGGGCGAAAGCCUGAUGGAGCAACGCCGCGUGCAGGAUGAAGGCUUUCGGGUCGUAAACUGCUUUUAUGUGCGAAGAAUAUGACUGUAACACAUGAAUAAGGGUCGGCUAACUACGUGCCAGCAGCCGCGGUCAUACGUAGGACCCAAGCGUUAUCCGGAAUUACUGGGCGUAAAGAGUUGCGUAGGUGGCAAGUUAAGUGAAUAGUGAAAUUGUGUGGCUCACCCAUACACACAUUAUUUAAACCGGCUAGCUAGAGUGAGAUAGAGGUAACUGGAAUUCCAAGUGUAGGAGUGAAAUCCGUAGAUAUUUGGAGGAACACCGAAGGCGUAGGCAGGUUACUGGAUCUCUCCUGACUCUGAAGCACGAAAGCGU